AGCGCUGCGAUGACUGCGGC
RNAcentral lists this unclassified non-coding RNA (20 nucleotides) under Chlamydomonas reinhardtii. RNAcentral's name for it is "small RNA Cre_0478". Lineage: Eukaryota; Viridiplantae; Chlorophyta; Chlorophyceae; Chlamydomonadales; Chlamydomonadaceae. The record is from RNAcentral.